UGCAUACGGGCUGAAGUGUAUGUGUAUAGGUGACGUAGUGUGUGUAGGGGUUACAGAGAGGGUGUGUUUAGAGAAUGUUGUAUGUGUUUGCUGACAAGGAAUGUAGUGUGUGUGUGUAUAGGAGAUCUACUGGGUAAAGGACCCAGUGUGUGUGUGUGUGUGUGUGUAGAGGAUUAAGAGUGCAUAUAGAGUAAGGGAUCUAGUGUUAUCUGGAGCGUAAUGUGUGUAGUGGUGCAGUGUGAGGGGUGCUGUAGUGUGUGUGUGUGUGUGUGUG
RNAcentral lists this long non-coding RNA (274 nucleotides) under Pelobates cultripes (western spadefoot toad). The record is from RNAcentral. Lineage: Eukaryota; Metazoa; Chordata; Amphibia; Anura; Pelobatidae.